UGGGGAAUAUUGGACAAUGGGCGAAAGCCUGAUCCAGCCAUGCCGCGUGUGUGAAGAAGGCCCUAGGGUUGUAAAGCACUUUAAGUUGUGAGGAAGGCCUUCAAAUUAAUACUUUGGAGGAUUGACGUUAGCAACAGAAUAAGCACCGGCUAACUCCGUGCCAGCAGCCGCGGUAAUACGGAGGGUGCAAGCGUUAAUCGGAAUUACUGGGCGUAAAGCGCGCGUAGGUGGCUCAUCAAGCCAGAUGUGAAAUCCCCGGGCUCAACCUGGGAACUGCAUUUGGAACUGAAGAGCUAGAGUACAGCAGAGGAGUGUGGAAUUUCAGGUGUAGCGGUGAAAUGCGUAGAGAUCUGAAGGAACAUCAGUGGCGAAGGCGACACUCUGGGCUGAUACUGACACUGAGGUGCGAAAGCGUGGGUAGCAAACAGG
RNAcentral lists this ribosomal RNA (429 nucleotides) under uncultured Alteromonadaceae bacterium. Its description in RNAcentral is "bacterial SSU rRNA". It matches the Rfam family "Bacterial small subunit ribosomal RNA", at positions 355 to 776 of the family's 1533-position model. Lineage: Bacteria; Pseudomonadati; Pseudomonadota; Gammaproteobacteria; Alteromonadales; Alteromonadaceae. The record is from RNAcentral.